AGGAUUAGCUGAGACCGUCUGUAAAGCUCCCGGCCCGGUGCCCCGGGCCUGGGAGAGGCUCAUAGGCUCCUUAAUUUCUCUCCCUCCCUCUGCUUUGGAUUCCACCAGAGGGGUGCAGCGACCGAGGACCCAGAUCCACACACGUCUUCAGGACCAUGGGGACUUCAGGAGCCACCACGCCACCCGUUGGCUGGAGCAGCGUCACUCCCACGGGGACUCACCUCCUGACACACGACAGAAGCGGGCUUGCUGGGGCUCCUCCUCAGCUCUGAGUAUCACUCGGCGGGAAAAUGUGGGUCCCCACCUGCACGUGUCACAUCCCCACAGGGUCCAAGAGCCAGCUCUCGAAAUCACCUUGUGGCUCCGA
Long non-coding RNA from Phacochoerus africanus (Common warthog), 367 nucleotides. RefSeq lists it as uncharacterized. NCBI's taxonomy places the organism in Eukaryota, Metazoa, Chordata, Mammalia, Artiodactyla, Suidae. The transcript is spliced from 2 exons. The record is from RefSeq and is a predicted model, not a curated record.